RNAcentral lists this long non-coding RNA (753 nucleotides) under Aquilegia coerulea. Its description in RNAcentral is "long non-coding RNA (ACOE_LNC002294)". Lineage: Eukaryota; Viridiplantae; Streptophyta; Magnoliopsida; Ranunculales; Ranunculaceae. The record is from RNAcentral.
UCCUCUCAAAUCCAUCUUGUAAGUAAUAUAUUUAUAGUUUUAAUGUCUUUUCACCUUAUGGCAUGUUGUUAAUGUAUGUCCUUUUUUGCCUUGUGUUACACUUCUCCUAUAAUAAACUCCUAGUAUUAUGUGUAAACAUGGGUCUAGUUGGCUAGUGUGAUUGUUCUUAGACCAAAUAUUUAUCUCUGGUUUGCAAACUCAGUCUCAAAGUAUGUAUGACUGAAAUCUUCUGAUGUCAAAAAAUAAAAAUAUUGACCAAGAUUUCUUCAUCUUUAUUUGUUGCAGUGACAACCAUAGCACUGCUGCCUCAGUAGAUCUCUUAAAUACUAAUGCACCUGCAGGGGCAAUGGUUCAGGAUGGAAUUGUGUUUAUCUUCCAGGACAUAUAUGUCUUCUUAAAGCACCAUCAAUUGUUAUGUACAUCUGGCCGUGACAUUUCCAUUAUUAACAAAAUGCACCCCAUUUAGCUAGAAAAAAAAAUAAAAAAAUUGUAACCGGAUAUUUAGCUAUAAUCAAAAGAGAAAGCAAGUGUUGGCAGUGUGACUUCUCACUCCUCUGCUGGAGUUUGUUCUGUUUCCGGUAAGCUUUUGUUAGUGAAUUUACACGAUUACACCAGAUGGCCAUGCCAGAUGGGGCAGUGAGCAUAGUUGUGUAAGCCUUGGACUUAAUUUUCUAGUAGUUUUCUAGUCAUGAUUUUGGAAUCUAUAACAUUAAUUUCACAAUAUUAUCAAAAUCAAGUCUUGUUGCUGCAAAU